GGGUUGUGAGGUUAAGCGACUAAGCGUACACAGUGGAUGCCCUGGCAGUCAGAGGCGAUGAAGGGCGUGCUAAUCUGCGAUAAGCGCCGGUAAGGUGAUAUGAACCGUUAUAACCGGCGAUACCCGAAUGGGGAAACCCAGUGUGAUUCGUCACACUAUCAUUACGUGAAUACAUAGCGUAAUGAAGCGAACCGGGGGAACUGAAACAUCUAAGUACCCCGAGGAAAAGAAAUCAACCGAGAUUCCCCCAGUAGCGGCGAGCGAACGGGGAGGAGCCCAGAGCCUGAAUCAGCAUGUGUGUUAGUGGAAGCGUCUGGAAAGGCGCGCGAUACAGGGUGACAGCCCCGUACACAAAAGCGCAUGUGUUGUGAGCUCGAUGAGUAGGGCGGGACACGUGGUAUCCUGUCUGAAUAUGGGGGGACCAUCCUCCAAGGCUAAAUACUCCUGACUGACCGAUAGUGAACCAGUACCGUGAGGGAAAGGCGAAAAGAACCCCGGCGAGGGGAGUGAAAAAGAACCUGAAACCGUGUACGUACAAGCAGUGGGAGCACCCUUUGGGG
Molecule: ribosomal RNA, 560 nt
Filed under: Salmonella enterica
Lineage: Bacteria; Pseudomonadati; Pseudomonadota; Gammaproteobacteria; Enterobacterales; Enterobacteriaceae
Description: partial 23S ribosomal RNA
Rfam family: Bacterial large subunit ribosomal RNA
Source: RNAcentral